GGAGGGAGAAUAGAAAACUCCCUGAGUCAGAGGGAAAGAUAGGUGGGGUCGACCAAAGACGUCUCCUCCACCACUACAUCCAACAAAGAAGGAUUGUUGAGGAAAGGCUUCAGUUUGUGCCCGUUCACCUUGAAGCUUUUAGUUGCAGAUGGACCUUGGAUUUCUACUGCACCAUAAGGAUAAACAUUCACUACAGGAAAUGCGCGGAUUACCGGCGGCCUUAUUCCGACGGCCUUAGAGCCCUCGGUAAUGCUCUGGUGAUUUUAAUUACCGACGGGCAUUGGGCCUUCGGUAAGUUGCGCGAUGAUUAAGACUCAAAAUUUGGGAUUCCUUCUCUCAAAUCGAUUUGGUCGACUAAAAAACCUAUCUCUGUCGACGAAACCCUAUUUCCCAGUCGCACAUUGUCGCACUGUCUUAGUUGCUCUCAGGCGCAUUGUCUCCCAUUUCUUCCUGCAUUGUCGUCCUUGAUUCAGUCGUGGUAGUGAGGCGGGACAACGGUUGCCAUUGAUGGUUUGAGGACUGUUGGUGACUGAGGCGGCGCAUUGGACGAUUUUCGAACGUUUGGAGCUUUUCUUGAGUGAUUCUCCUACAAGGGUGUUGGUGGACGACGAUUNGGGCAUUUUUUGCGGUUGUCGUGGAGUAGNGAGGGUGUUGCUGGUGGGAUUGCANUAAGGGUUAGUGUUCUUUUUUAUUUCUUGUUGCCAUUUUACUUUCGUUGCGUUUUUACUCUGAUUUCUUACAUAACUUUUAUUUUCCAGCACUUGUUUUUACAUUGAAUGAAUUGCAAUUGUAUUUU
RNAcentral lists this long non-coding RNA (796 nucleotides) under Vigna radiata. RNAcentral describes it as "long non-coding RNA (VRAD_LNC017838)". The record is from RNAcentral. Lineage: Eukaryota; Viridiplantae; Streptophyta; Magnoliopsida; Fabales; Fabaceae.